UGCAGUCUAAUAGCUCUCUCUUGAGGCUUGA
RNAcentral lists this non-coding RNA (31 nucleotides) under Rattus norvegicus (Norway rat). The record is from RNAcentral. Lineage: Eukaryota; Metazoa; Chordata; Mammalia; Rodentia; Muridae.